RNAcentral lists this ribosomal RNA (1201 nucleotides) under Nephotettix cincticeps (green rice leafhopper). RNAcentral's name for it is "large subunit ribosomal RNA". The stretch from base 967 to 1125 matches the Rfam family "Eukaryotic large subunit ribosomal RNA", at positions 2825 to 2984 of the family's 3401-position model. The record is from RNAcentral. Lineage: Eukaryota; Metazoa; Arthropoda; Insecta; Hemiptera; Cicadellidae.
ACAGUUUUUUAAUAAUUUAUUUAAUAAAUUUUUAAAUUAUUUUAUUUUUUCUUAGUAUUAUUUAGACACGAAAAUUUUAUUUUAACUGUGAAGGUUAAUAUACAUAUGUUUAAUAAGAUUUUUAGUAGUACCUUUUGUAUCAGGGUAGUUUUAAUAAAUCAAAAAAUUUAAUAUUCCCGAAUAGAAAAGUUCUAUAUAAUUAAUUAUUUAUUUGUUUCAAUAAAUUUUUUAAUAAUUAUAUUGUAAUUAAAUGUUAAUCGCUUUUUAUAUAUCUGGUUGUUAAGGAAAUUAAUUCAAUUAAUCAUUAUUUUUAUUUUAUUAUUCAUAUCUCUAUAAUGUAAAGUUAUUAGGGAUAAUCUUAAUAAUUAUUAAUACAAUUUUUUUAAUUAUUUGAUAUUUAUUAACUUUAAAAUUUUGUAUUAAGUUUAUACUAAAUUUAUAUUAAUUUUUAAUUUUUAUUUUUAUUUAAUUUUUUACUUAAUUAAUUAAUAUAAUUAUAUUUUUAUUUAAAUUAUUAUUUAAUUAGUAUAAUAUAUAAUUAAAUUUAAAUGAAUUCGACAAAUAAUUUUUCCAACUGUUUAACAAAAACAUUUCUUUUUGAUUUAUUUAAAAGGUAAAUUCUGCCCUAUGGAUUUCUAAAUGGCUGCAGUAUUUUGACUGUGCAAAGGUAGCAUAGUAAUUAGUUUCUUAAUUAGAAGCUGGUAUGAAUGGAUUAAUGAGAUAAAUAUUUUAUUAAUUUUAUUUUUAAAAAUUAAAUUUUAAGUAAAAAUGCUUAAUUAAUUUCUAGGGACGAUAAGACCCUAUAGAACUUUAUAUAAUAAUAUUUAAUUAAUUUUUAUUUUUAUACUAAAUUAAGUAUUUUUUAUAAUUUGCUGGGGUGGUGAAUAAAUUUUAACUUUAUUAUUAAAUUUCAAUGAUUUAUGUAAAUUUUGAUCCUAAUGGAUUAAAAGAUUAAGUUACCUUAGGGAUAACAGCGUAAUUAAAAUGGAGAGUUCAUAUCUAUAUUUUAUUUUGCGACCUCGAUGUUGAAUUAAGGAAAGGUUGGGAAGCAGAAUUCUCAAGUCUAAGUCUGUUCGACUUUUAAACCCUUACAUGAUUUGAGUUCAAACCGGUGUAAGCCAGGUUGGUUUCUAUCUUAGAAUUAUUAUUAAUUUUUUAGUACGAAAGGACCAAAAAUUUUUACUUUAGGUAAUAUCUAUUU